Molecule: ribosomal RNA, 253 nt
Filed under: uncultured bacterium
Lineage: Bacteria
Description: partial 16S ribosomal RNA
Rfam family: Bacterial small subunit ribosomal RNA
Source: RNAcentral
UACGUAGGGUGCAAGCGUUGUCCGGAAUUAUUGGGCGUAAAGAGCUCGUAGGCGGUCUGUCGCGUCGGCUGUGAAAACUCGGGGCUCAACUCCGAGCUUGCAGUCGAUACGGGCAGGCUAGAGUUCGGCAGGGGAGACUGGAAUUCCUGGUGUAGCGGUGAAAUGCGCAGAUAUCAGGAGGAACACCGGCGGCGAAGGCGGGUCUCUGGGCCGAUACUGACGCUGAGGAGCGAAAGCGUGGGGAGCGAACAGG